This 301-nucleotide ribosomal RNA is filed under the name uncultured bacterium. RNAcentral describes it as "partial 16S ribosomal RNA". It matches the Rfam family "Bacterial small subunit ribosomal RNA", at positions 509 to 807 of the family's 1533-position model. The record is from RNAcentral.
CAGUAGCCGCGGGAAUACGAAGGGGGCUAGCGUUGCUCGGAAUUACUGGGCGUAAAGGGAGCGUAGGCGGAUCGUUAAGUUGGGGGUGAAAGCCCGGGGCUCAACCUCGGAACUGCCUUCAAUACUGGCGAUCUUGAGUAUGAGAGAGGUGUGUGGAACUCCGAGUGUAGAGGUGAAAUUCGUAGAUAUUCGGAAGAACACCAGUGGCGAAGGCGACACACUGACUCAUUACUGACGCUGAGGCUCGAAAGCGUGGGGAGCAAACAGGAUUAGAUACCCCCGUAGUCCCUGUCUCUUAUAC